CUGACUGACACACUGACUGAAUGAUAUACUGACUGACUGACUGACACACUGACUGACUGACACACUGACUGACUGACUGAUAUACUGACUGACUGACUGACACACUGACUGACUGACAUACUGACUGACUGACUGACACACUGACUGACUCACUGACUGACUGAUAUACUGACUGACUGACACACUGACUGACUGACUGACACACUGACUGACUGACACACUGACUGACUGACUGACUGACUGACACACUGACUGACUGACACACUGACUGACUGACUGACUGACGGCCUGAUAUACUGACUGACUG
Pelobates cultripes (western spadefoot toad) is the source of this 307-nucleotide non-coding RNA. The record is from the annotation of a GenBank genome assembly. Lineage: Eukaryota; Metazoa; Chordata; Amphibia; Anura; Pelobatidae.